GAUGAACGCUGGCGGCGUGCCUAAUACAUGCAAGUCGAGCGAACAGAUGAGGAGCUUGCUCCUCUGACGUUAGCGGCGGACGGGUGAGUAACACGUGGAUAACCUACCUAUAAGACUGGGAUAACUUCGGGAAACCGGAGCUAAUACCGGAUAAUAUAUUGAACCGCAUGGUUCAAUAGUGAAAGACGGUUUUGCUGUCACUUAUAGAUGGAUCCGCGCCGCAUUAGCUAGUUGGUAAGGUAACGGCUUACCAAGGCAACGAUGCGUAGCCGACCUGAGAGGGUGAUCCGCCAAAAUGGAACUGAGACACGGUCCAGACUCCUACGGGAGGCAGCAGUAGGGAAUUUUCCGGAAUGGGCGAAAGCCUGACGGAGCAACGCCGCGUGAGUGAUGAAGGUCUUCGGAUCGUAAAACUCUGUUAUUAGGGAAGAACAAAUGUGUAAGUAAAUAUGCACGUCUUGACGGUACCUAAUCAGAAAGCCACGGCUAACUACGUG
RNAcentral lists this ribosomal RNA (497 nucleotides) under uncultured bacterium. RNAcentral's name for it is "partial 16S ribosomal RNA". It matches the Rfam family "Bacterial small subunit ribosomal RNA", at positions 28 to 507 of the family's 1533-position model. The record is from RNAcentral.